This 301-nucleotide ribosomal RNA is filed under the name uncultured bacterium. RNAcentral describes it as "partial 16S ribosomal RNA". It matches the Rfam family "Bacterial small subunit ribosomal RNA", at positions 509 to 807 of the family's 1533-position model. The record is from RNAcentral.
CAGUCGCCGCGGGAAAACGGAGGGGGCUAGCGUUGUUCGGAAUUACUGGGCGUAAAGCGCACGUAGGCGGCUUGGUAAGUUAGAGGUGAAAGCCUGGAGCUCAACUCCAGAAUUGCCUUUAAGACUGCCGAGCUAGCAGGUGAGAGAGGUAAGUGGAAUUCCGAGUGUAGAGGUGAAAUUCGUAGAUAUUCGGAAGAACACCAGUGGCGAAGGCGGCUUACUGGCUCAUACUGGACGCUGAGGUGCGAAAGCGUGGGGAGCAAACAGGAUUAGAUACCCCAGUAGUCCCUGUCUCUUAUAC